This 468-nucleotide ribosomal RNA is filed under the name uncultured bacterium. RNAcentral describes it as "partial 16S ribosomal RNA". It matches the Rfam family "Bacterial small subunit ribosomal RNA", at positions 28 to 507 of the family's 1533-position model. The record is from RNAcentral.
GACGAACGCUGGCGGCGUGCUUAACACAUGCAAGUCGAACGGACAGGCCCUGCGCUUGUGGGGUGCUCGAUUGGCGAGCGGGGGAGUAACACGCGAGUAACCUGCACUUGACUGUGGGGUAACUUCAGGGAACUGGGGCUAAUACAGGGUAGGAGCUCUUGCAGCAUGGGGGGGGUUGGAGAGAUUCGGCGGUUGGGGAUGGAAUCGCGGGUUAUCAGCUUCUUGGUGGGGUAGGGGAGGACAAGGGCUUCGACGGGUAGCCGGCCUGAGAGGGUGACCGGCCACAUUGGGACUGAGAUACGGCCCAGACUCCUACGGGAGGCAGCAGUGGGGAAUAUUGCACAAUGGGCGGAAGCCUGAUGCAGCAACGCCGCGUGCGGGAUGACGGCCUUCGAGUUGUAAACCGAUUUCGCCUGUGACGAAGCGUGAGUGACGGUAAUGGGUAAAGAAGCACCGGCUAACUACGUG